CACGUAGGGGGCGAGCGUUGUCCGGAUUCAUUGGGCGUAAAGCGCGCGCAGGCGGCUCGGAAAGUCGGGUGUGAAAGCUCGGGGCUCAACCCCGGGCGUGCAUCCGAUACUGCCGGGCUUGAGGCAGGUAGGGGAGAUCGGAAUUCCUGGUGUAGCGGUGAAAUGCGCAGAUAUCAGGAGGAACACCGGUGGCGAAGGCGGAUCUCUGGGCCUGUCCUGACGCUGAGGCGCGAAAGCGUGGGGAGCAAACAGG
Molecule: ribosomal RNA, 253 nt
Filed under: uncultured bacterium
Lineage: Bacteria
Description: partial 16S ribosomal RNA
Rfam family: Bacterial small subunit ribosomal RNA
Source: RNAcentral